Molecule: long non-coding RNA, 289 nt
Organism: Cucurbita moschata (crookneck pumpkin)
Lineage: Eukaryota; Viridiplantae; Streptophyta; Magnoliopsida; Cucurbitales; Cucurbitaceae
Exons: 3
Source: RefSeq, a predicted model, not a curated record
UGGCGUUGUUGUUGGAUUAACAAUGGUAGAGUCAACCAACUGAGUGAAAUGUAGAGGAGAGAAGAUUGUUCUGUCUUCUUCAUUCUUCAAAGACAUUGUCAUAUCAACAUGAAGAACAAGAAGGUAUAGAUAGCUACAAAAGAAUGAGCAUAGAAAUAGCUACAAAAGAAUGGUAAAAACAUCAUUACCCGAGAAGAACAAGAAGGAAUCAAAGCUUUCUUGGAUCACCAAGAACAGAAAGAACAUGAGAAAACUUGAGAAAGCAGGCAAUGGAGCAGUUGGAUACCAC